Molecule: unclassified non-coding RNA, 254 nt
Filed under: Ascomycota sp.
Lineage: Eukaryota; Fungi; Ascomycota
Description: partial contains small subunit ribosomal RNA, internal transcribed spacer 1, and 5.8S ribosomal RNA
Rfam family: Eukaryotic small subunit ribosomal RNA (bases 1-47)
Source: RNAcentral
AAAGUCGUAACAAGGUCUCCGUUGGUGAACCAGCGGAGGGAUCAUUACCGAGUCUUACAACUCCCAAACCCCUGUGAACAUACCACACGUUGCUUCGGCGGACCGCCCCGGCGCCCGAACCCCCUUGGGGGGGAGGCCCGGAGCCAGGCGCCCGCCGGGGGACCCAAACUCUUGCCUUCGCCCUGAGCGGAAUCUCCUUCUGAGUAACGAAAACAAAUGAAUCAAAACUUUCAACAACGGAUCUCUUGGUUCUG